GUGGGGAAUAUUGGGCAAUGGGCGAAAGCCUGACCCAGCAACGCCGCGUGAAGGAAGAAGGUUUUCGGAUCGUAAACUUCUAUCCUUGGUGAAGAUAAUGACUGUAGCCGGAGAAGAAGCCCCGGCUAACUUCGUGCCAGCAGCCGCGGUAAUACGUAGGGGGCAAGCGUUGUCCGGAAUGAUUGGGCGUAAAGGGCGCGUAGGCGGCCCGGUAAGUCUGAAGUGGAAGUCCUGCUUUUAAGGUGGGAAUUGCUUUGGAUACUGUCGGGCUUGAGUGCAGGAGAGGUAAGCGGAAUUCCCGGUGUAGCGGUGAAAUGCGUAGAGAUCGGGAGGAACACCAGUGGCGAAGGCGGCUUACUGGACUGUAACUGACGCUGAGGCGCGAAAGUGUGGGGAGCAAACAGGAUUAGAUACCCCAGUAGUCC
Molecule: ribosomal RNA, 425 nt
Filed under: uncultured bacterium
Lineage: Bacteria
Description: partial 16S ribosomal RNA
Rfam family: Bacterial small subunit ribosomal RNA
Source: RNAcentral